Long non-coding RNA from Mesocricetus auratus (golden hamster), 640 nucleotides. RefSeq lists it as uncharacterized. NCBI's taxonomy places the organism in Eukaryota, Metazoa, Chordata, Mammalia, Rodentia, Cricetidae. The transcript has 5 exons. The record is from RefSeq and is a predicted model, not a curated record.
UUCACUUUAUACAAAUUACUAUCUAUAAGCUAAAAAUAGAGUAUGUUUAUAACUUUUAACUUCCUAAAUCAAUAUAGAUUACUUCAAACUUGAAUGCGAUUUGAUCUGAUUUGAAAAAUAAGGGAGAAAAAUGAGACAGAGUCAGCAAAAAGUCAUCAUACAACAGGACAAAGUCAGCAACCAGAUGUAAGCUCUCAGCUACUCCUCCAGAACCAUGACUGUCUGCCUGCUGCUUUGCUCUCAACCAUGAUAGUCAUAGAUUCACCCUCUGAAAGUCCUUUUUUCCUGCACAAAUUGAUGGUGACAGCAGCGAUACCAAUUCAAUUACAUACCAUCUUCUGGUUCCCAGUAAUGAUUCAGAGUAGGUCAACAAGGACCAGAUUGGAACAAGAAUGACCAUGAAUUAAAAGGAAAGAAUAAGCAACAAAAGCCUGAGUUAUAAUCUAUUUUCACUUCUGGGGAAAUUUUAAGCCAUAUUAUCUUAAACAUAAGCAGGUACAGGAGUCAGUUUUCAACACUGGCUUUCCUCUCAGAGGGAUGCAACUUCUUCUACCUCUUCACUGCUGGGGACUUGCAUCUCCUGAGUUACAUCACUGCAAGAAUCCUACAUCACUGCAAGCGUCCACGCCCCUAUGGUACA